UACGGGGGGGGCAAGCGUUGUUCGGAAUUACUGGGCGUAAAGAGCUCGUAGGCGGCUCGUUGCGUCGGCUGUGAAAACCCGCAGCUCAACUGUGGGCUUGCAGCCGAUACGGGCGGGCUGGAGUUCGGUAGGGGAGACUGGAAUUCCUGGUGUAGCGGUGAAAUGCGUAGAUAUUGGGAGGAACACCAGUGGCGAAGGCGGCUCACUGGACCGGAACUGACGCUGAGGCGCGAACGCCAGGGGAGCAAACGGG
RNAcentral lists this ribosomal RNA (253 nucleotides) under uncultured bacterium. RNAcentral describes it as "partial 16S ribosomal RNA". It matches the Rfam family "Bacterial small subunit ribosomal RNA", at positions 524 to 776 of the family's 1533-position model. The record is from RNAcentral.